UACGUAGGGGGCAAGCGUUAUCCGGAAUCAUUGGGCGUAAAGCGCGUGUAGGCGGUUCCGUAAGUCCGCUCUGAAAGCCCAGGGCUCAACCCUGGGAGGCGGGUGGAUACUACGGAACUGGAGUACGGAAGAGGAGAUUGGAAUUCCUGGUGUAGCGGUGAAAAUGCGCAGAUAUCAGGAGGAACACCAACAGCGAAGGCAGAUCUCUGGGACGUUACUGACGCUGAGACGCGAAAGCGUGGGGGAGCAAAACAGG
This 256-nucleotide ribosomal RNA is filed under the name uncultured bacterium. RNAcentral's name for it is "partial 16S ribosomal RNA". It matches the Rfam family "Bacterial small subunit ribosomal RNA", at positions 524 to 776 of the family's 1533-position model. The record is from RNAcentral.